RNAcentral lists this small RNA (465 nucleotides) under Nannizzia gypsea. RNAcentral describes it as "eukaryotic LSU rRNA". The stretch from base 146 to 299 matches the Rfam family "5.8S ribosomal RNA". Lineage: Eukaryota; Fungi; Ascomycota; Eurotiomycetes; Onygenales; Arthrodermataceae. The record is from RNAcentral.
CAGUUGCCUCGGCGGGCCGCGCACUCGUGCCGCGCCUCGAGGAGCCGUCCGGGGACAAUCAACUCCCUGGAUCGCGCCCGCCGGAGGAGUGAUUAAAAUCCAUGAAUACUGUUCCGUCUGAGCGUUAGCAAGUAAAAUCAGUUAAAACUUUCAACAACGGAUCUCUUGGUUCCGGCAUCGAUGAAGAACGCAGCGAAAUGCGAUAAGUAAUGUGAAUUGCAGAAUUCCGUGAAUCAUCGAAUCUUUGAACGCACAUUGCGCCCUCUGGUAUUCCGGGGGGCAUGCCUGUUCGAGCGUCAUUUCAACCCCUCAAGCCCGGCUUGUGUGAUGGACGACCGUCCCGCCCUCCCUACUCCAGGGGAGGGGGACGCGCCCGAAAAGCAGUGGCCAGGCCGCGAUUCCGGCUCCUGGGCGAAUGGGCAACAAACCAACGCCUCUAGGACCGGCCGGUUUUCUGGCCUAGUU